RNAcentral lists this non-coding RNA (44 nucleotides) under Trypanosoma brucei brucei. Lineage: Eukaryota; Euglenozoa; Kinetoplastea; Trypanosomatida; Trypanosomatidae. The record is from RNAcentral.
UAUAAACAAUAGAUUCAUUACAGAGAUACAGUGAACGAUAUAAU